Molecule: ribosomal RNA, 505 nt
Filed under: uncultured bacterium
Lineage: Bacteria
Description: partial 16S ribosomal RNA
Rfam family: Bacterial small subunit ribosomal RNA
Source: RNAcentral
GACGAACGCUGGCGGCGUGCCUAAUACAUGCAAGUAGAACGCACAGUUUAUACCGUAGCUUGCUACACCAUACACUGUGAGUUGCGAACGGGUGAGUAACGCGUAGGUAACCUGCCUGGUAGCGGGGGAUAACUAUUGGAAACGAUAGCUAAUACCGCAUAAUAUUGAUUAUUGCAUGAUAAUUGAUUGAAAGAUGCUAUUGCAUCACUACCAGAUGGACCUGCGUUGUAUUAGCUAGUAGGUGAGGUAACGGCUCACCUAGGCGACGAUACAUAGCCGACCUGAGAGGGUGAUCGGCCACACUGGGACUGAGACACGGCCCAGACUCCUACGGGAGGCAGCAGUAGGGAAUCUUCGGCAAUGGACGAAAGUCUGACCGAGCAACGCCGCGUGAGUGAAGAAGGUUUUCGGAUCGUAAAGCUCUGUUGUAAGAGAAGAACGGGUGUGAGAGUGGAAAGUUCACACUGUGACGGUAGCUUACCAGAAAGGGACGGCUAACUACGUG